GGACCCGCACAAGCGGUGGAGCAUGUGGUUUAAUUCGAUGCAACGCGAAGAACCUUACCCAGGCUUGACAUCCUCGGAAACCUGAUGGAAACAUCGGGGUGUCCCUCACGGGGAAGCCGAGUGACAGGUGCUGCAUGGCUGUCGUCAGCUCGUGUCGUGAGAUGUUCGGUUAAGUCCGGCAACGAGCGCAACCCCUGUCGUUAGUUGCCAUCAAUUCGGUUGGGCACUCUAGCGAGACUCCCGGUGUUAAGCCGGCGGAAGAUGGGGAUGACGUCAAAAUCAUCACGGCCCUUACGUCCUGGGCUACACACGUGCUACAAUGGCCGGUACAGAGGGCAGCCACACCGCAAGGUGGAGCGAA
RNAcentral lists this ribosomal RNA (361 nucleotides) under uncultured bacterium. RNAcentral's name for it is "bacterial SSU rRNA". It matches the Rfam family "Bacterial small subunit ribosomal RNA", at positions 917 to 1271 of the family's 1533-position model. The record is from RNAcentral.